RNAcentral lists this ribosomal RNA (253 nucleotides) under uncultured bacterium. RNAcentral's name for it is "partial 16S ribosomal RNA". It matches the Rfam family "Bacterial small subunit ribosomal RNA", at positions 524 to 776 of the family's 1533-position model. The record is from RNAcentral.
UACAGAGGCCUCGAGCGUUGUUCGGAAUUACUGGGCGUAAAGGGAAUGUAGGUGGUCAUGUAAGUCAGAUGUGAAAGCCCUGGGCUUAACCUGGGAAGUGCAUUUGAUACUGCUUGGCUGGAGUGCGAGAGAGGAAAGCGGAAUUCCAGGUGUAGGAGUGAAAUCCGUAGAUAUCUGGAGGAAUACCGAUGGUGAAGACAGCUUUCUGGCUCGCAACUGACACUGAGAUUCGAAAGCAUGGGUAGCAAACAGG